This 3138-nucleotide long non-coding RNA is filed under the name Triticum aestivum (bread wheat). RNAcentral describes it as "long non-coding RNA (TAES_LNC017703)". Lineage: Eukaryota; Viridiplantae; Streptophyta; Magnoliopsida; Poales; Poaceae. The record is from RNAcentral.
CUGGGUGUUUUGUGGAUUCAACGAGAUUUCAUUAUAUUUCACUUGCUCUUCCAUGGGUGUCGUGCCUAUCUAGAAACAUGUUACUGGUUUUAGUUCAGGCUAGCUUUCUGCUCAUAGGUAGAACUUUGCAUCUGAUAUCAACUUUAAUGAGGUUUGACUAUUGUUGGGGAUGUUCUGAAGCUUGUGGACUGUAUGCUUGUAGCUGAGCUUAACCUCCGAGGCCUCUCCCUUCUCUUAUCACAUUUAUAUCCAGCAUCCAGUCUCAGGUUUCACUAUUUACUAAUUACUACUACCGUUGAAAUGAUUGGGUCCCAAUCUUCCUAUUUCCCUUUGCAGCCUGCAAGGAUCCCCAACCAUACUGGGUGCUAAUGCCUGAGGUAUGUACUGCUUGGAUUUGCUCAGCUAAAGAAACACAGCACAAUCAUGAUGUGUAUCAACAAUUGGUUCAUUGUGGCUAGAAGCCUUUUUUUAGUCUCAAACUUCCUGGGGGAGACUAGCGUGAUUUUUGGGCUUCACAUGAGAUGUGCAAUCCGGCCACCUGGACCAUUGGAUGUGUCAAGGCUGCAAAGCCUGACCGUUUUAUGCAAAACCCCAUGUUUUUAUCUCUGUUUUGCAUGUGAUCACACACUUGUAUGGUUUUGCAUAAACCACCAGUGCGAACAUUACAUUUCCUAGUUCAGUAAUCAUCCAUGUUCAGUCUGUAGCCUAUAAUGUACUCUGUAUAUUGCUCAAAAUGAUAAUCUUACUCUGUAUUUUGCUGGAAAAAAGGUUCUACUCUACAAUCUAGUACUCACUGAAAGCAUUCAAAAACUGUGUUAGACAAUUUUCACUAAACCUGCACGUUCCAGACCCAAAUUUUAUCUAACAAAAACACUAAAGCUCUAACAACAACACUAGAAGCUGUACCACCUAAUUGAGGUCAUUAAGUCAACAAGAAAUAGAAUAAGUAUAUUUACAACAUAUGCACCAGUCAUGUUUUUGAAGAUGCGAUGGCGAUCCCUUCAAAUCCGUAUUUCAAUAAUGCAAGAAAGGAACCAUUUAACAGCCAUUAUGGACAAACAUUUUCAUUUUGUUCUUUGGACAAAUACGGGUGUCGUGUAACCAAACUCCCUUGCAUGUGCUGCAAGUGCGUGGCACCUAAGAUGGCUGGAACACUAAGCAGAUCGGGUGGGCAUGCUAAGGCUGGCAAGGGUGAGGUGGAAUUAUGCAUCAUAAGCACCUGAAUCAGAUGGUCGCGUAAUUAUAUUAUCAUUCAUUGUUUUCAGACAAAAUGUUUAUUCCAUGGCUGGUAAUGUUAAGGCUCCUCUGUUACUUCUCAAAGCAACCACACGUUUUGUAGCAAUGUUGAUGCUGCACGCUUGCUGCCAAUUUGAUUCUGCAUUUAGUACUAUGCGAGUGAACUAAGAAAGUGUUGUUUCAGGCUAGUAAAGCAUCAUUGUGCACUUCUGGAACAACUAUCAUGGAAGUAUGGAACUAAUGCUAGCAAAACUACUCUGUGUUGUCGCCUGAGGAAAAAGAUGGAACUUUAUUUUCCUGCCCAACAUUCUUUUGGAAUCUCCUUUUUUAUAUGCCAUGCUUUUUCAAGCUAGUACAGAUAAAGAUCUAGCCACAAAGAUAAGGUAAUUUGUUUCUAAUCUACUACACCUUAUAUAUUCAGAGGUACAAAGGGAGCUUCUAUAUAUGCAAUUAUUCUCAGUUGCAACAUAAUUGUUCAGUUGAGCUACUGAACUUGCUGACAGGAAAAUGCUCAGGGGUAACAACUUGAAAAUUUUCUAGGUAACUAAAUAAGAUAUUCUGACGGUUUAAAAUAGACCACAUCCUAUUUGUGUCAGCCUACUAUAUUCUACAGUUACACUAAGAAUGGAAGUACACCAAUACCAGUUUGUUUAGGUCACUACAACAUUGUGGCUAUAGUGGGUGGAUUAGGAUGCAACAUCUGUUUGUAUCUGCUGGUAUGGCAAUUUUGCUGCUUGCUAGGAGAUGUUCAUCUCCAGCGUUUAUUGCAGUUUAAAAAGCAGUUCAAUCACCUUGUAAUAGUUAUGGUGUAGUAAGAUUUGGGUUAAAUAUCGGUUUGAUACACGCUGAAUUUUGAGUUAGUCUCCAAAUAGAAGUUGUAGUGUACUUCUUAAGCUUUCUAGAGUGUAUUUAUUUGUGUAUUUUUACUGGGCAGUUUGAGAGCAGCGACCACCUCAAGCUUGCCGUCCAAAAAUUAGUAUCUCUAUUCGGACAUGAUACUACAAAAGAAACAAUGCAUUGAUACUUUCCCCGUUCCUUGUAUGUUUGCUUGCUAUUUACAUAUUUAACCUUCCAAAAUAGGGCCACCAGUCAUGUCAGGAAUGCCAUUGUAUUAUUACCAUACUUGAACUGCUGGCCGACGAUGGUAAUUCAGACAGCCGUAUUAUUUGCAUUGCUAAACUAUCCUGGUAUAUAUUUAGGAUCCUACGCUACUUAUUUAGAUUACAAAUAAAUUUGUCAUGUUAAUGUUUAUGUCGGUAUAUGUGCCAGCUUACACCCAGAUUUGUUUUGCCUUAUGCAGAAACUACUGGAUACUUUACAUCAAGCUUGACCAAGUAUGUCCCUUGUUGCUGUUGUUAUACCUGGCGAUAGAGCUCCAUUGGUUUCUUCAAAGGUGGCAUGCCCUGAUUGAUUUAUUACUCUGUAGAGUGUGUAAAGGUUUUUCUGUUUAUGACUAUUUGGUGCUUUUAUCCAGCAAGGCAGUAAGUUCUUUUGCAGGGACAAAUGGCAGAAAAUAGCAAGUCCACAAGUUGAUCUAAGAUGCUCCGUGGUCGCUUUUGUUGAUAACAUGGUUGACACCUUUUGUUCAUACAAAAGUUCAUGUUGGCUUGGUGAUUGAAGAAUUGGUCUCUGCCAUCAAAUUUUGUAGUAGUCAGUGAUCAAACAAUUGGUCUCUUCGGAUCUUAGCCAUCAAAUUUUGCAACAACUUGUCUUGUAUGUCAAACUUAUGUAUUUCCUUGAUGGUUGUAGCUAUCUUGAGCGAAGAAAACAAAUUAAUCUUUAUAUAUGUUGAAUGAAUGUAUGGAUGAAUGGCAGUUUGUGAUGAAUAUAAGAGUGCAAUUGUGUAUAUGCAUUGUGUACUAAACAUGAAUUAAAUAUUAUGAAUGUGAUUUAAUGUUAAAA